GUCGAACGAUGAACCUCGCUUGCGGGGGGAUUAGUGGCGAACGGGUGAGUAACACGUGAGUAACCUGCCCUUAACUCUGGGAUAAGCCUUGGAAACGAGGUCUAAUACUGGAUAUUGACUUUACCUCGCAUGGGGUUUUGUUGAAAGAUUUAUUGGUUUUGGAUGGACUCGCGGCCUAUCAGCUUGUUGGUGAGGUAAUGGCUCACCAAGGCGACGACGGGUAGCCGGCCUGAGAGGGUGACCGGCCACACUGGGACUGAGACACGGCCCAGACUCCUACGGGAGGCAGCAGUGGGGAAUAUUGCACAAUGGGCGAAAGCCUGAUGCAGCGACGCCGCGUGAGGGAUGACGGCCUUCGGGUUGUAAACCUCUUUCAGUAGGGAACAAGGCCAGCAUUUUUGUUGGUUGAGGGUACUUGCAGAAGAAGCGCCGGCUAACUACGUGCCAGCAGCCGCGGUAAUACGUAGGGCGCAAGCGUUAUCCGGAAUUAUUGGGCGUAAAGAGCUCGUAGGCGGUUUGUCGCGUCUGCCGUGAAAGUCCGGGGCUCAACCCCGGAUCUGCGGUGGGUACGGGCAGACUAGAGUGAUGUAGGGGAGACUGGAAUUCCUGGUGUAGCGGUGAAAUGCGCAGAUAUCAGGAGGAACACCGAUGGCGAAGGCAGGUCUCUGGGCAUUAACUGACGCUGAGGAGCGAAAGCAUGGGGAGCGAACAGGAUUAGAUACCCUGGUAGUCCAUGCCGUAAACGUUGGGCACUAGGUGUGGGGGACAUUCCACGUUUUCCGCGCCGUAGCUAACGCAUUAAGUGCCCCGCCUGGGGAGUACGGCCGCAAGGCUAAAACUCAAAGGAAUUGACGGGGGCCCGCACAAGCGGCGGAGCAUGCGGAUUAAUUCGAUGCAACGCGAAGAACCUUACCAAGGCUUGACAUGAACCGGAAAUACCUGGAAACAGGUGCCCCGCUUGCGGUCGGUUUACAGGUGGUGCAUGGUUGUCGUCAGCUCGUGUCGUGAGAUGUUGGGUUAAGUCCCGCAACGAGCGCAACCCUCGUU
This 1047-nucleotide ribosomal RNA is filed under the name Arthrobacter psychrochitiniphilus. RNAcentral's name for it is "bacterial SSU rRNA". It matches the Rfam family "Bacterial small subunit ribosomal RNA", at positions 61 to 1109 of the family's 1533-position model. The record is from RNAcentral. Lineage: Bacteria; Bacillati; Actinomycetota; Actinomycetes; Micrococcales; Micrococcaceae.